RNAcentral lists this ribosomal RNA (497 nucleotides) under uncultured bacterium. Its description in RNAcentral is "bacterial SSU rRNA". It matches the Rfam family "Bacterial small subunit ribosomal RNA", at positions 40 to 518 of the family's 1533-position model. The record is from RNAcentral.
UAGCGUGGAUUAGGCAUGCAAGUCGAACGGGAUCAGCCGGAUAGCAAUAUUCGGCUGUGAGAGUGGCGGAUGGGGAGGAGCACGUGAGCAACCUGCCCUGGGGACGGGGAAAACCUCGGGAAACUGAGGCUAAUACCGGAUGCGGCGCCCGGAGACAUCUUCGGAGCGCCAAAGGGGGCCGCAAGGCUCCCGCCCUGGAGGGGCUCGCGCACCAUCAGCUAGUUGGCGGGUAACGGCCCACCAAGGCUCACGGUUAGCUGGUCUGAGAGGAUGACCAGCCCCACUGGGACUGAGAUACUGCCCAGACUCCUACGGGAGGCUGCAGUCGAGGAUCAUUCGCAAUGGGCGAAAGCCUGACGAUGCGACGCUGCGUGGAAGGAUGAAGGCCUUCGGGUUGUAAACUCCUGUCAUGGGGGAACAGGCGAGGGGAGUUAACACCUCCCUUAGUUGAGUGUACCCCAAGAGGAAUUGGCGGCUAACUCUGUGCCAGCCGCUGC